CCUACGGGAGGCAGCAGUGGGGGAUAUUGGACAAUGGGGGAAACCCUGAUCCAGCGACGCCGCGUGAGUGAAGAAGUAUUUCGGUAUGUAAAGCUCUAUCAGCAGGGAAGAAAGAAAUGACGGUACCUGAGUAAGCAGCCGCGGCCAACUUCGCGCCAGCAGCCGUGGUACUACGGAGGGGGCAAGCGUUAGGCGGAAUUACUGGGUGUAAACGGCGCGUAGACGGUACUGCAAGUCUGGAGUGAAAUGCGGGGGCCCAACCACCGAACUGCUCUGGAAACUGUGUAACUGGAGUGCAGGAGAGGCAGGCGGAAUUCCUGGUGUAGCGGUAAAAUGCGUAGAUAUUAAGAGGAACACCAGUGGCGAAGGCGACCUGCUAGACUGUAACUGACGUUGAGGCUCGAAAGCGUGGGGAGCAAACGGGAUUAGAUACCCGUGUAGUC
Molecule: ribosomal RNA, 443 nt
Filed under: uncultured bacterium
Lineage: Bacteria
Description: partial 16S ribosomal RNA
Rfam family: Bacterial small subunit ribosomal RNA
Source: RNAcentral